CUCCCCAUCCCCUCUGGAAACACCGGGUGAAGAACGAGCCCUGCGUAGUUCUUUGUGGCCUUGGGCCUGGGACGGCUGCUUGCCAUUCAGGCCUAGACACAAAGCCCAUUAAACUCAUGUGAAGACCUGCCCAUCUGGACCAGGCCCAGCUGUUGUCCGAUCCAUGGUAGGAUAAAAAUGAAAGCCCUCUUAUUCUGCCAGAGCUGCACAGCCGGAUGUUCUCUACUGAGCUCAAUCAUUUUUUUCACGACUUUUCACAUCCCCAACCUGGGAUCAGACACAGUGGAAUAAAGCUAACCCAAGUUCUGAGCUGUAACAGUAACAACAACAACAAUAAUAAUAAUUUGUAGGGCUGUGUGAGGCUUUGGGCCAUGCUUUGGAUCCAGAGAAGCUUUGCAUGCUUUGGC
Long non-coding RNA from Alligator sinensis (Chinese alligator), 407 nucleotides. RefSeq lists it as uncharacterized. The record is from RefSeq and is a predicted model, not a curated record. The transcript has 3 exons. Lineage: Eukaryota; Metazoa; Chordata; Crocodylia; Alligatoridae.